This 668-nucleotide ribosomal RNA is filed under the name uncultured Lachnospiraceae bacterium. RNAcentral's name for it is "bacterial SSU rRNA". It matches the Rfam family "Bacterial small subunit ribosomal RNA", at positions 64 to 734 of the family's 1533-position model. Lineage: Bacteria; Bacillati; Bacillota; Clostridia; Lachnospirales; Lachnospiraceae. The record is from RNAcentral.
GAACGGGAAAUAUUUAUUGAAACUUCGGUCGAUUUAAUUUAUUUCUAGUGGCGGACGGGUGAGUAACGCGUGGGUAACCUGCCUUAUACUGGGGGAUAACAGCCAGAAAUGACUGCUAAUACCGCAUAAGCGCACAGAACCGCAUGGUUCCGUGUGAAAAACUCCGGUGGUAUAAGAUGGACCCGCGUUGGAUUAGCUAGUUGGCAGGGCAGCGGCCUACCAAGGCGACGAUCCAUAGCCGGCCUGAGAGGGUGAACGGCCACAUUGGGACUGAGACACGGCCCAGACUCCUACGGGAGGCAGCAGUGGGGAAUAUUGCACAAUGGGGGAAACCCUGAUGCAGCGACGCCGCGUGAAGGAAGAAGUAUCUCGGUAUGUAAACUUCUAUCAGCAGGGAAGAUAAUGACGGUACCUGACUAAGAAGCCCCGGCUAACUACGUGCCAGCAGCCGCGGUAAUACGUAGGGGGCAAGCGUUAUCCGGAUUUACUGGGUGUAAAGGGAGCGUAGACGGCGCAGCAAGUCUGAUGUGAAAGGCAGGGGCUUAACCCCUGGACUGCAUUGGAAACUGCUGUGCUUGAGUGCCGGAGGGGUAAGCGGAAUUCCUAGUGUAGCGGUGAAAUGCGUAGAUAUUAGGAGGAACACCAGUGGCGAAGGCGGCUUACUGGAC